GGAUAGCUCAGUUGGUAGAGCUGGAGACUCUUAACCCCAGGGUUGUGGGUUCCAGCCCCACAUUGGACA
This is a non-coding RNA of Podarcis lilfordi (Lilford's wall lizard), 69 nucleotides long. The record is from the annotation of a GenBank genome assembly. Lineage: Eukaryota; Metazoa; Chordata; Lepidosauria; Squamata; Lacertidae.